This 2045-nucleotide ribosomal RNA is filed under the name Bacillus cereus AH1134. RNAcentral's name for it is "bacterial LSU rRNA". It matches the Rfam family "Bacterial large subunit ribosomal RNA", at positions 876 to 2925 of the family's 2925-position model. The record is from RNAcentral. Lineage: Bacteria; Bacillati; Bacillota; Bacilli; Caryophanales; Bacillaceae.
CUAGCCUUAAGUGUAAGAGUCUUGGAGGUAGAGCACUGAUUGGACUAGGGGUCCUCAUCGGAUUACCGAAUUCAGUCAAACUCCGAAUGCCAAUGACUUAUCCUUAGGAGUCAGACUGCGAGUGAUAAGAUCCGUAGUCAAAAGGGAAACAGCCCAGACCGCCAGCUAAGGUCCCAAAGUGUGUAUUAAGUGGAAAAGGAUGUGGAGUUGCUUAGACAACUAGGAUGUUGGCUUAGAAGCAGCCACCAUUUAAAGAGUGCGUAAUAGCUCACUAGUCGAGUGACUCUGCGCCGAAAAUGUACCGGGGCUAAAUACACCACCGAAGCUGCGGAUUGAUACCGAAUGGUAUCAGUGGUAGGGGAGCGUUCUAAGGACAGUGAAGUCAGACCGUAAGGACUGGUGGAGUGCUUAGAAGUGAGAAUGCCGGUAUGAGUAGCGAAAGACGGGUGAGAAUCCCGUCCACCGAAUGCCUAAGGUUUCCUGAGGAAGGCUCGUCCGCUCAGGGUUAGUCAGGACCUAAGCCGAGGCCGACAGGCGUAGGCGAUGGACAACAGGUUGAUAUUCCUGUACCACCUCUUUAUCGUUUGAGCAAUGGAGGGACGCAGAAGGAUAGAAGAAGCGUGCGAUUGGUUGUGCACGUCCAAGCAGUUAGGCUGAUAAGUAGGCAAAUCCGCUUAUCGUGAAGGCUGAGCUGUGAUGGGGAAGCUCCUUAUGGAGCGAAGUCUUUGAUUCCCCGCUGCCAAGAAAAGCUUCUAGCGAGAUAAAAGGUGCCUGUACCGCAAACCGACACAGGUAGGCGAGGAGAGAAUCCUAAGGUGUGCGAGAGAACUCUGGUUAAGGAACUCGGCAAAAUGACCCCGUAACUUCGGGAGAAGGGGUGCUUUCUUAACGGAAAGCCGCAGUGAAUAGGCCCAAGCGACUGUUUAGCAAAAACACAGCUCUCUGCGAAGCCGUAAGGCGAAGUAUAGGGGGUGACACCUGCCCGGUGCUGGAAGGUUAAGGAGAGGGGUUAGCGUAAGCGAAGCUCUGAACUGAAGCCCCAGUAAACGGCGGCCGUAACUAUAACGGUCCUAAGGUAGCGAAAUUCCUUGUCGGGUAAGUUCCGACCCGCACGAAAGGUGUAACGAUUUGGGCACUGUCUCAACCAGAGACUCGGUGAAAUUAUAGUACCUGUGAAGAUGCAGGUUACCCGCGACAGGACGGAAAGACCCCGUGGAGCUUUACUGUAGCCUGAUAUUGAAUUUUGGUACAGUUUGUACAGGAUAGGCGGGAGCCAUUGAAACCGGAGCGCUAGCUUCGGUGGAGGCGCUGGUGGGAUACCGCCCUGACUGUAUUGAAAUUCUAACCUACGGGUCUUAUCGACCCGGGAGACAGUGUCAGGUGGGCAGUUUGACUGGGGCGGUCGCCUCCUAAAGUGUAACGGAGGCGCCCAAAGGUUCCCUCAGAAUGGUUGGAAAUCAUUCGUAGAGUGCAAAGGCAUAAGGGAGCUUGACUGCGAGACCUACAAGUCGAGCAGGGACGAAAGUCGGGCUUAGUGAUCCGGUGGUUCCGCAUGGAAGGGCCAUCGCUCAACGGAUAAAAGCUACCCCGGGGAUAACAGGCUUAUCUCCCCCAAGAGUCCACAUCGACGGGGAGGUUUGGCACCUCGAUGUCGGCUCAUCGCAUCCUGGGGCUGUAGUCGGUCCCAAGGGUUGGGCUGUUCGCCCAUUAAAGCGGUACGCGAGCUGGGUUCAGAACGUCGUGAGACAGUUCGGUCCCUAUCCGUCGUGGGCGUAGGAAAUUUGAGAGGAGCUGUCCUUAGUACGAGAGGACCGGGAUGGACGCACCGCUGGUGUACCAGUUGUUCUGCCAAGGGCAUAGCUGGGUAGCUAUGUGCGGAAGGGAUAAGUGCUGAAAGCAUCUAAGCAUGAAGCCCCCCUCAAGAUGAGAUUUCCCAUAGCGUAAGCUAGUAAGAUCCCUGAAAGAUGAUCAGGUUGAUAGGUUCGAGGUGGAAGCAUGGUGACAUGUGGAGCUGACGAAUACUAAUAGAUCGAGGACUUAACCAU